Molecule: ribosomal RNA, 366 nt
Filed under: Weissella confusa
Lineage: Bacteria; Bacillati; Bacillota; Bacilli; Lactobacillales; Lactobacillaceae
Description: bacterial SSU rRNA
Rfam family: Bacterial small subunit ribosomal RNA
Source: RNAcentral
GGUGACAGGUGGUGCAUGGUUGUCGUCAGCUCGUGUCGUGAGAUGUUGGGUUAAGUCCGGCAACGAGCGCAACCCUUAUUACUAGUUGCCAGCAUUCAGUUGGGCACUCUAGUGAGACUGCCGGUGACAAACCGGAGGAAGGUGGGGAUGACGUCAAAUCAUCAUGCCCCUUAUGACCUGGGCUACACACGUGCUACAAUGGCGUAUACAACGAGUUGCCAACCCGCGAGGGUGAGCUAAUCUCUUAAAGUACGUCUCAGUUCGGAUUGUAGGCUGCAACUCGCCUACAUGAAGUCGGAAUCGCUAGUAAUCGCGGAUCAGCACGCCGCGGUGAAUACGUUCCCGGGUCUUGUACACACCGCCCGU